GCUUGCUUCUCUGAUGUUAGCGGCGGACGGGUGAGUAACACGUGGAUAACCUACCUAUAAGACUGGGAUAACUUCGGGAAACCGGAGCUAAUACCGGAUAAUAUUUUGAACCGCAUGGUUCAAAAGUGAAAGACGGUCUUGCUGUCACUUAUAGAUGGAUCCGCGCUGCAUUAGCUAGUUGGUAAGGUAACGGCUUACCAAGGCAACGAUGCAUAGCCGACCUGAGAGGGUGAUCGGCCACACUGGAACUGAGACACGGUCCAGACUCCUACGGGAGGCAGCAGUAGGGAAUCUUCCGCAAUGGGCGAAAGCCUGACGGAGCAACGCCGCGUGAGUGAUGAAGGUCUUCGGAUCGUAAAACUCUGUUAUUAGGGAAGAACAUAUGUGUAAGUAACUGUGCACAUCUUGACGGUACCUAAUCAGAAAGCCACGGCUAACUACGUGCCAGCAGCCGCGGUAAUACGUAGGUGGCAAGCGUUAUCCAGAAUUAUUGGGCGUAAAGCGCGCGUAGGCGGUUUUUUAAGUCUGAUGUGAAAGCCCACGGCUCAACCGUGGAGGGUCAUUGGAAACUGGAAAACUUGAGUGCAGAAGAGGAAAGUGGAAUUCCAUGUGUAGCGGUGAAAUGCGCAGAGAUAUGGAGGAACACCAGUGGCGAAGGCGACUUUCUGGUCUGUAACUGACGCUGAUGUGCGAAAGCGUGGGGAUCAAACAGGAUUAGAUACCCUGGUAGUCCACGCCGUAAACGAUGAGUGCUAAGUGUUA
This 762-nucleotide ribosomal RNA is filed under the name uncultured Staphylococcus sp. RNAcentral describes it as "bacterial SSU rRNA". It matches the Rfam family "Bacterial small subunit ribosomal RNA", at positions 78 to 825 of the family's 1533-position model. Lineage: Bacteria; Bacillati; Bacillota; Bacilli; Caryophanales; Staphylococcaceae. The record is from RNAcentral.